GGAGACAGCCUACAUGAAGAGUCAGCAAGGAGCAGGAAGGUAAAGUAAGAAAAGGAGAAGGAACAGAAAUGAGCAGGAAGGGACAUCAAGGAGCAGAAAGGGGCAGCAAGGAGCUGGAAGGGACAGCAAGGAGCACAAAAGGUAAAGUAGGAGAAGGAGCAGAAAGGAACAGAAAUGAACAGGAAGGGUCAGCAAGGAGCUGAAAGGUAAAGCAGCACAAAGGUAAAGUAGAUGGAGCAGAAAG
This is a non-coding RNA of Pelobates cultripes (western spadefoot toad), 244 nucleotides long. The record is from the annotation of a GenBank genome assembly. NCBI's taxonomy places the organism in Eukaryota, Metazoa, Chordata, Amphibia, Anura, Pelobatidae.